Molecule: ribosomal RNA, 1071 nt
Filed under: Triticum aestivum (bread wheat)
Lineage: Eukaryota; Viridiplantae; Streptophyta; Magnoliopsida; Poales; Poaceae
Description: partial small subunit ribosomal RNA
Source: RNAcentral
AUGGCCUGCUUCCCUUGCAACCCACUUCCCCACCUUCCCCCCGGAACUGCAAUCAUCCCUCCUGGUCCCCUUCGUGCUCGCCGUGGAUAUGUGGUUCUUGGAGGUGAGCUUCCGAUGGUGUGUGACGAGUGGGCAAUCGCCAUGCUCAUCCCCGAGGUAUCUACUGAGGAGUUUCAUGGCGCCAUUGCUCUGAUCACCAACUUCUUGGAGGGGUGUGGAUGGCACAUCAACUACACCUCUCGCUGUGGUAUGUGCACUGCUUUGAUUCAGUUUACUACUGCCUUCUCGCGUGAUACUGUUGUCAAUCUUACUCCGUUUCAGAUUGGGGACUCUGUUCUUAGAAUUAGCAGACAUGAUAGAGGUAUUAACUACCACAUUACAUUCACGCACGAUAUUUGGAUCUUACUCAUGAACUAUCCACUUGAAUGUUGGGAUGUUGGGGUUAUAAGCCGCGUUGUUUCUCCUUAUGGCCGCUUUCUGAUCUAGAACAAAGACCCAAGGGACAAGUCGAGGGUUAUUGUUAAGCUCAGGGUUAUGAAUGUGGACACUAUACCCAUUAGUUUAGUUGUGUUGAGAAACCAUGAUGAUGUGGGCUAUGGUGACUCAUGGAUCUGCCCAAUCUAUAUUCUGUCUCGGGAGCUGAUUGGUCAGCAAGGGGGUGAUGAGGAUCCACUUCCAUCUGAUGGUGGAAAUCCUCAACCUCUCCCUCAUGUUCAUGGAGGUUUUUGGCAUGAUGAGGUUUUGGGAAAUAUACCUAUGGACCAGGUUGUUAUUAACCCCCACAAUGAGAAUCUUGGUGCACCUUAUGAAGAUGUUCAUGCUGUCCAUAAUGACAAUGUGAAUCAUGCUACUGAACAGAUGGCUGCUGCUGCUGACCUAGUGUUGUUGGUCAUGUGGAGGCACCUGCCAUGGAGGAAACACAGACACCAAUCCAGAUACACACUAACACACACUAUGUUGCUCCUCAUGAGACACUUGGGCCUGAUUAUAUCCCAAUUAAUCCUACGCCUUCUCAGCCCAGCUCACAGAAAGCUCCUAGCCCCGAGUUUAUGCCUAAAAACUGCAGCAUGA